GAGACCUCAGGUCAGGCGGGACUACCCGCUGAAUUUAAGCAUAUCAAUAAGCGGAGGAAAAGAAACUAACAAGG
Molecule: ribosomal RNA, 74 nt
Filed under: Medicago monspeliaca
Lineage: Eukaryota; Viridiplantae; Streptophyta; Magnoliopsida; Fabales; Fabaceae
Also listed under: 1 other name
Description: partial large subunit ribosomal RNA
Rfam family: Eukaryotic large subunit ribosomal RNA
Source: RNAcentral